UUCAGAAUCUCUUUCUCUCUCUUCAAUUCCUCCCUCUCUCCAAUUAUCUCUCCGUUCGUAGCCACCACCAACGCUCGGCGGUCGCCGGUCAGGUCACUUCUCGCCGGUCGCUUCUCGCGGUGGUGAUUCCUUCGCAGAAAUCCAACGACGCCGCGAACACCUUCCUCCUCCAAUUCAUCGAUCGGUUAAUUCUCAAAACUCAAUCGCCAAUUCUCAAUUUGCGAUCUAUUUGUUAUUCGAACAAAAUCGCACCAAACAGAAAUUGUUAUUCAAAACAGCUGCGAUUUGUUAUUCAAAACUCAAAUCGCAAAUUCUCAAUUUGCGAUCGAUUUGUUAUUCGGUAAGAUUUUGCUGGUGGUGAUUUAUGGUGGCCUAUCGUCGCCGCCGCCGUUGCUGCUUGCUUCUCGGCGCCCGAGCUGCUCGCAGCCGCCUCUGCUCGCAGCCAUUUAGACGCCGCCGCUGCUCGGUUAAUUUAAUCGCUGGUGUUCUCAAUCGAUUUCAAUCGAUUCUAAAAUAAAAUCGAUCGGCAGUUCGGUAAGAUCUCUCUCCGGCGCUCAUUCUCUCUCUUCAAUUCCUCUCUCUCUCCUUUUCGAACACCACCAACAUUCGCCGCCGUCGCCGCCGCCGCCGCUGCUCGCGUCUCGCUUCCGCCGCUGCUCGAGUCUCGCCGCCGCCGCUGCUCACUGCAAUUCAGUCGCCGGUCGCGUUGGUUUUGGUUUCAGCAAUUUCGAUUAUAAAUUCCGUUCGCGGUGGUUGUGGUUGAAUCAGAUUUCAAUUUCGGUUGCUUUAGGGCUCUCGUUGAUGCAUGAAGUCAAGGAGGGAGUGUACUGGUAGCAGGUGGUUUCCAGAAUUAAAGAUUUGGUGAAUGUUGGUUAACAAGUACAAAUGAUGUUAUGUAUAUGAUAGAGUACAGUGGCCCGAUGGUUCCAGAGUCAUUAUCAAGACUCCCAGCUCGAAAUUCUCAGGUCUAGCUUGAUCUAGCUUAAUGAUCCUUGGAUCAAUCCAGCUUUGAAGAUAAGAGACUUCCUGAGAUUAAGCAGUGUUUUAUUUUCUACAAUCAUUUGCAGUCAUUGCGGACAUAUCCUCAUUCAGGGAUCAUGACUAUUCUGAAUAUCAAAUUUUAAUAGCUAGCACAAAAAACUGUUAAAGAAAGAUGUUUACCUGGUAAAUUGAGCAUUAGUUGGAUACAAUUAUGCAAAUAAAAUCUUGCACGUUUUCAUUGAACAGACAAAGAAGGGUUAGAUGACAAAUAUUGUCUAACCACUUCUAAUUCCCAUCUUCUAAGGGUUAGGAAAUUUGAUCAUAUCUGAUUCUGACAAGUCAUACGCAGAUGUCAUCCUUGCAUAUUCUUGGCAUAUCAGCAUAUGCCUUCUAAUCCUCAUUGAUGGAUUGCCAGCCGCGUCUAGCGACCACCUAACAUCAGAAAAAUGGACGAUACAUAUAAUUCUAGUUUAGUGUUCUUCUUGUUGCUGUAGCUGUCAUGUUUGAAGAGUUGAUGAAGCCUUUAAUAUGAUCAGCUAGGCAGUCGCGUUUCAGUCGGCUGGUUGCUGCAGGUCUGUUACUUAUGAGUAUUUUGAGAUUUUCUCAUUUACUUUUGAGUAUUUUUAAUUUACUUUUGAGUAUGUUUAAUUUACUUUUGAGUUAAUACUCCCUAGUCCCUAUUAUUUAUGUUCUUCUCUAUGGUGUAGCAGUCUUGUUUGCAAACGCGGUUUUAGUUCUAGUAGAGGUAGCGUUUGUUCUGACCAGCUAGGCACCCACGUUCAGAUCUGCUGGUUGUGCAAGUGUGUUGGCAGUAGCUAGUUGCUGCAGACCUGAUGCAGGAUGUUCGAAGCUAAAGUCAACUUUUCAAGUUUGAAUUUUGUAGCAGGUCGGUACAUGUUUGUUUUUUCUGCUUGUUGUUGUCUGCUUCUGAGCAGUUCAUGGUCAAUUUAUACUAUUAGUUUUUAAGAAAAUAUUUAAGAAAAAAAUUACAAUUGAAGUGUCAUUAUUAUUUUGUUUACAUUUAGAGGGAUUUAGUCUAUUUUUGGA
Spinacia oleracea (spinach) is the source of this 2028-nucleotide long non-coding RNA. RefSeq lists it as uncharacterized. Lineage: Eukaryota; Viridiplantae; Streptophyta; Magnoliopsida; Caryophyllales; Amaranthaceae. The transcript is spliced from 3 exons. The record is from RefSeq and is a predicted model, not a curated record.